Molecule: ribosomal RNA, 795 nt
Filed under: uncultured bacterium
Lineage: Bacteria
Description: bacterial SSU rRNA
Rfam family: Bacterial small subunit ribosomal RNA
Source: RNAcentral
AGAGUUUGAUCAUGGCUCAGGAUGAACGCUAGCGGCAGGCUUAAUACAUGCAAGUCGUGGGGCAGCAUGGGGUAGCAAUACUCUGAUGGCGACCGGCAAACGGGUGCGGAACACGUACGCAACCUUCCUUUAACUGGAGAAUAGCCCCUCGAAAGAGGGAUUAAUACUCCGUAACAUGAUGAUAAGGCAUCUUAUUAUUAUUAUAGCUCCGGCGGUUAGAGAUGGGCGUGCGCCUGAUUAGGUAGUUGGCGGGGUAACGGCCCACCAAGCCUGCGAUCAGUAACUGGUGUGAGAGCACGACCAGUCACACGGGCACUGAGACACGGGCCCGACUCCUACGGGAGGCAGCAGUAAGGAAUAUUGGUCAAUGGACGCAAGUCUGAACCAGCCAUGCCGCGUGGAGGAUUAAGGCCCUCUGGGUUGUAAACUCCUUUUAUCUGGGAAGAAAUCCAUAUAUUCUUAUAUGGUUGACGGUACCAGAGGAAUAAGCACCGGCUAACUCCGUGCCAGCAGCCGCGGUAAUACGGAGGGUGCAAGCGUUAUCCGGAUUCACUGGGUUUAAAGGGUGCGUAGGCGGGUAAGUAAGUCCGUGGUGAAAUCUCUGAGCUUAACUCAGAAACUGCCGUGGAUACUAUUUGCCUUGAAUAUUGUGGAGGUGAGCGGAAUAUGUCAUGUAGCGGUGAAAUGCUUAGAUAUGACAUAGAACACCAAUUGCGAAGGCAGCUCACUACACAAUCAUUGACGCUGAGGCACGAAAGCGUGGGGAUCAAACAGGAUUAGAUACCCUAGUAGUCC